Molecule: ribosomal RNA, 407 nt
Filed under: uncultured bacterium
Lineage: Bacteria
Description: partial 16S ribosomal RNA
Rfam family: Bacterial small subunit ribosomal RNA
Source: RNAcentral
AUUGAACGCUGGCGGCAGGCCUAACACAUGCAAGUCGAGCGGAGCGGCGGACGGGCGAGUAAUGCCUAGGAAUCUGCCUGGUAGUGGGGGAUAACGUCCGGAAACGGGCGCUAAUCCCGCAUCCUAUCAGAUGAGCCUAGGUCGGAUUAGCUAGUUGGUGGGGUAACGGCUCACCAAGGCGACGAUCCAUAGCUGGUCUGCGAGGAUGACCAGCCACACUGUACCUGAGACAGGGUCCAGACUCCUACGGGAGGCAGCAGUGGGAAAUAUUGCACAAUGGGCGCAAGCCUGAUGCAGCCAUGCCGCGUGUAUGAAGAAGGCCUUCGGGUUGUAAAGUACUUUCAGCGGGGAGGCGUUACCCGCAGAAGAAGCACCGGCUAACUCCGUGCCAGCCGCCGCGGUAAUUC